CCAAGAGGAAGGCCAAGAUUUGCUGGUCUUCAGUGCUGAUCAUUCUCAGCCGAGUCGCCUCCUCUCCGCCCCCUGCAGGCCGACCAGGGAACUGCUCAGGGGCCGAGUAGGGCCAGGAGCGCGGAGCCGACAGCUCUGGCCCGCUGGGCUGUGGCGGCGGCUACACCGACUGCAGGCCGGCCACCCGGGCGCGGAGACCGCGGGCCAUGGCGCGGGUGCUGAUCGUGGGCGCCGGGCUGACGGGAAGCUUGUGCGCGGCGCUGCUAAGGAGGGAGGCGUCCAGUCCUCUGCGCCUCACUGUGUGGGACAAGGCCGGGGACUCAGGAGGAAGAAUGACUACAGCCAGCAGUCCUCAUAAUCCACAGAGCACAGUGGACUUGGGUGCCCAGUAUAUCACCUGCACUCCUCAUUAUGCCAAAAUACACCAAAGUUUUUAUGAUGAAUUGUUAGCUGGUGGCAUUUUGAAGCCUCUGACCUCUCCUAUUGAUGGAAUGGUGAUAAAAGAAGGAGACUGUAACUUUGUAGCACCUCAUGGAGUUUCUUCAAUUGUUAACCAUUAUUUGAAACAAUCAGGUGCCGAUAUCUGCUUCAGACAACGUGUGACCCAGAUCAAUUUGAGAAACAACAAGUGGGAAGUCUCCAGGGAAACGGGCUCCUCUGAGCAGUUUGAUGUCAUUGUCCUCACGAUGCCUGCUCCUCAGAUUCUGCAGCUUCGAGGUGACAUCACCAACUUAAUUAGUGAAUGCCAAAGGCAGCAACUGGAGUCUGUGAGCUACUCCUCUCGCUACGCUCUGGGCCUCUUUUAUGAAGCUGGCACGAAGAUUGAUGUCCCUUGGGCUGGGCGGUACAUCACCAGUAAUCCCUGCAUUCGCUUCAUCUCCAUUGAUAAUAAGAAACGCAAUAUAGAGUCAUCAGAAAUCGGACCUUCCCUUGUGAUUCACACCACUGUCCCAUUUGGAGUUACACACUUGGAACACAGCAUUGAGGAUGUGCAGGAGUUAAUCUUCCAGCAGCUGGAAAACAUUUUGCCUGGUUUGCCUCAGCCAGUUGCUACCAAAUGCCAGAAAUGGAGACAUUCACAGGGCUUUCUGCACAAAUCUGCUACAACUCCAGCAUGCACCAUCUCAAGGGAGCCUGCAGAGAAGCAGAUCAUUGUCAUUAGAGAGGCCACUAAAUGCCUGAGAGAUGAAGGAAGAGGGAUUCAGAGAAAAGUACUGCAUGAUACAAGCCCUAAUGGGAUGAUGGACCAGUAUUCUACUCAGAGUCCUCCUGCUCACACCCAGUGGGAAAAGAUGCCUUAGAGGCAUGCAGCUGCCGCCCUAAAACCAGACUGCGCCAGAGGUAGAAGGAGGAAGUUCUGGCUACCCGCAAUCUCAAACCCUUCAACCUGAGAUCAGUCUGUGACUCCUCUUCUCCUCUCCAGCAAUGUCAUGACAUAAACGCAUAACCCUUGCUCCCAGAAGAUCUUUUGAAUCAAACCAACGUUGGAGCCAAGCAAUUACACCAUGAAAGGAUCCUGCCAUCUGCCCACUCUAAAGAAACUCAGCAGUUCGGUCCAAAAACAAUGGCUGGAAGGCAAUCAUUUUGAACAAACUCAAGAGGUGGACUUUUCUGCACUCUCCUGGUUACUGCUAUGCUCCCUGGAGGAGAGACAGUGAGGGAUGACCCUGAGGCUCAGGCUUUGGGGGGCUCUCCUCCUAAAUAAACCCCACCCCCCAACCCCAGAGCCCUGUCAUGGCUUAGUUUGACAAGAGAGGACUUCGUGUACAGAUCUGGCUGCCUUCAGGGCUGAGGAAGGAGGAGGAGGAGAGGUGGGCGGCUCCCCGGGCAGUACUGUCCUCCUCUGAUCUGCCAUGUGUCACUGGAAUGUAGGUCGGCCUUCGCUGGACAACUUGAUGGAGGCUGGAAGCAUGUGGACCCCAUACGGGGUCCCCCUCACUCUCUUCCUGCUCAAGACGGGAGUUAAGAGGCCCAAAGAACGCAGAGAGGCCAUCAAGACAAGCGAAAGUGGUCGUUCGUUUCGCUCGCAAAAGCCUGGGAAAUCUAAAGCUUAGCAAAGGCUUUAUCAGUCCUGGAGCUGAGCCAAGGAGCAGGCUGAAGUUCAGCUGGCCGGGCCCAACGCAGCUGCUGGCUCUGCACGCUUCCCACAGGGACUUUUCCUCGGCCCUCUGAUUUAGACAGCGAACGGGAUGGGUGAUGUGCAUGUAGCUGUCGAGGGUGAUUGGAGAAACAGAAUGACUGGCAAUUACCGAGCAGUUCAGGUGGAGGUAUAGAGUGCAGAGAAGGUCUCCUUUCCAGCAGUAAAACGAAGUGUCGGUGAAAGGGCAGCUGUCCUUGUGGAAAGGCUGUAACUUUAAAGGGAUAUUGGCCAAGGCUUUCUGCUGAACCUUCAGGCUUGGUCACUUGCCUUUCCCCCACAGUUCAGAGGGAAAGAGAUAGUCCAUGAAUUGAAUUUUUCUUGUGAAUUAAAACAUCGAUGUCCUGGUUUGGGGUAACAAGCAUUGCCAAGCUAGUGCUGAGCAGGCAGAAAGGAGGGAUACGACGAAUGCUUUGCCUUCGGGGCAAGGCAGAAAAAAAUGUUCACAAAAGAGCAUCAUUCCACUGAUUGUUCAAGGUCACCAGACUGUGCAUGCUCAAAAUGGGACUCAAGACUCCCAAAUCCCAGUGUCUGAUUAAUUGUCCUUUGACUAAAACAAUGAAAGUAAAAUGGAUUAGCAAAAACGGUUGCUCCAGGCCAAGAAGUUCAGGAAGCAGAGUCUCAAGCAAAGUAGGAUUUUCUUUAAUUAGGUUGAAGGCCUUGGUAAUAAUGCUGUAAAUAUGAAAUUGUCAUGUGAACAGUAGGUAUAGUGGUGAUUCUGUUUUAUCAUGCCAGUAAAAAAAUGGUGAGUGUUGAUGUGCCGUGGUGCUGGCACUGAGCAAGGCAUUUUCCCUAUGCUAUGUGAAUUAACCCUCACAAGUACCUGGUAAGUAUGAUAGCCACUAUAUUACUGAUGGGGCUAACACUGGUUAAAGUUUUUGACUUGAUGUGUAUGUGGUGAACUAGGAUUCAAUUUUAGGUUUCUGACUUCCAUGUUUCACAACCACGUGGCUUAUUCUGUGUAUUCAUAUCUAGGUUGAUUGUUGUAAAGUAUAAAUUUCUAGAUGAGAAAAACUCUGAGCUAAAACAGAGUUAAGUGUUGUUGCUCAGUCGUGUCCGACUCUUUGUGACCCUCAUGGACUGUUUCCCACCAGGCUUCUCUG
Cervus elaphus (red deer) is the source of this 3240-nucleotide RNA transcript. It is a transcript of the gene named renalase, FAD dependent amine oxidase, with no coding region annotated. The transcript is spliced from 10 exons. Lineage: Eukaryota; Metazoa; Chordata; Mammalia; Artiodactyla; Cervidae. The record is from RefSeq and is a predicted model, not a curated record.